UACGAAGGGGGCUAGCGUUGCUCGGAAUUACUGGGCGUAAAGCGCGUGUAGGCGGUUCGUAAAGUCGGAUGUGAAAGCCCUGGGCUUAACCCAGGAAGUGCAUUCGAAACUCACGAACUUGAGUCCCGGAGAGGAAGGCGGAAUUCCCGGUGUAGUGGUGAAAUGCGUAGAUAUCGGGAGGAACACCAGUGGCGAAGGCGACUACCUGGCCCAUUCUUGACGCUGAGGCGCGAAAGCUAGGGGAGCGAACGGG
Molecule: ribosomal RNA, 253 nt
Filed under: uncultured bacterium
Lineage: Bacteria
Description: partial 16S ribosomal RNA
Rfam family: Bacterial small subunit ribosomal RNA
Source: RNAcentral